Molecule: long non-coding RNA, 222 nt
Filed under: Manihot esculenta (cassava)
Lineage: Eukaryota; Viridiplantae; Streptophyta; Magnoliopsida; Malpighiales; Euphorbiaceae
Description: long non-coding RNA (MESC_LNC004239)
Source: RNAcentral
CAAAACAGAGAUAAGUUAGGAUAAUCUUCCGUCGAGAUGAUAAAAGCGAGAUUAAAGCAAAUUCCUGGGGCAAUACAAAAAUCCCGCCGGAAGAAGGAAACAGACAGACAAAUUCGAAAGAAAAAUCCCUUUGCUCCAACAAAAUGCCUGGGACUGGUAAGGAGGUGAUGUUAAUAUAUAUCCGAAAGUUUGUAUUUUGCAGGACAGGGGAGCCGAAUUCUC